GACUCUGCACCCUUCCGGCCGCUAAGACAAGGCCUCAGACACCGGGUUCUGCCCUGUUUACUGUCAGCAGAGCCAAGCUGAGAAGGAUGGGCCUGAGAAAAGGUUGCUAACUUUGGAGGAAGCCAGCUGCCAUGUCACAAGAAGAUUCAGGAAGCCAUGUGGGGAGGCUCACAUCAUGAGGAACUGAGGUCUUUGCCAAUUACCAGCAAGGAAAUGAGGCCUCCCGCCAACAGCCAUGUGAGUAUCCUACCUUGGAAAUGGACCCUCUAACUUUAAUCAGCCUUCAAAUAACUGCAGCCCCAGUUGAUGGGUUGACUGCAACCUUAGGAGAAACCCCGAGCCAAAAACAUUGAGGAAAAACACCCCCAGAUUCCUAUCAGAAAUUGUGUUAGAUAAUAAAUGUUUAUUGUUUUAA
This 415-nucleotide long non-coding RNA is filed under the name Pongo abelii (Sumatran orangutan). Its description in RNAcentral is "lincRNA". The record is from RNAcentral. Lineage: Eukaryota; Metazoa; Chordata; Mammalia; Primates; Hominidae.